UGGGGAAUUGUUCGCAAUGGGCGCAAGCCUGACGACGCAACGCCGCGUGGAGGACGAAGAUCUUCGGGUCGUAAACUCCUGUCGAGCGGGAAGAAACCCACGGGGAUGAAUACUCCCUGUGGCUGACGGUACCGCUAAAGGAAGCCCCGGCUAACUCCGUGCCAGCAGCCGCGGUAAUACGGGGGGGGCAAGCGUUGUUCGGAAUUACUGGGCGUAAAGGGCUCGUAGGCGGCCAACUAAGUCGGAUGUGAAAUCCCCAGGCUCAACCUGGGAACUGCAUCCGAUACUGGAUGGCUUGAAUCCGGGAGAGGGAUGCAGAAUUCCAGGUGUAGCGGUGAAAUGCGUAGAUAUCUGGAGGAAUACCGGUGGCGAAGGCGGCAUCCUGGACCGGCAUUGACGCUGAUGAGCGAAAGCCAGGGGAGCAAACGG
RNAcentral lists this ribosomal RNA (429 nucleotides) under uncultured bacterium. Its description in RNAcentral is "bacterial SSU rRNA". It matches the Rfam family "Bacterial small subunit ribosomal RNA", at positions 355 to 775 of the family's 1533-position model. The record is from RNAcentral.